CUAAAGUGGCAGCGUAUCGGUUCUGCAAGUGUCAAAACGCNCGCGGAUGAAAAGGGAAUACGGUGAGGACGACCCAAGUAAGGGCCGAAACCGUGGCUGCCCCCGCAACUGUGAACGGCGAGCGAUGUCCAUCAUGCCAUUGGCCCCACGGCCGAUAAGGCGGACAAAGCCCAGACCCGUGAGCCAGGAGACCUGCCGAUAAGCAUGCGCGAAA
This 214-nucleotide non-coding RNA is filed under the name Gillisella vitis. The record is from RNAcentral. Lineage: Bacteria; Pseudomonadati; Pseudomonadota; Alphaproteobacteria; Hyphomicrobiales; Rhizobiaceae.